GGGAACUGCCCCAAAGUGAGGGAUAAGCACCAGAAAUGGUGUCUAAUACCGCAUAUGGUCUUCGGAUUAAAGGAUUUAUCCGCUUUGGGAGCGGCCCGCGUNUGAUUAGAUUGUUGGUGAGGUGAAGGCUCACCAAGUCGACGAUCAAUAGCUGGUCUGAGAGGAUGAUCAGCCAGACUGGAACUGAGACACGGUCCAGACUCCUACGGGAGGCAGCAGUAAGGAAUCUUCCACAAUGGGCGAAAGCCUGAUGGAGCAACGCCGCGUGAAGGAUGAAGGCCCUCGGGUCGUAAACUUCUUUUAUGAGUGAAGAAUAUGACGGUAACUCAUGAAUAAGCACCGGCUAACUACGUGCCAGCAGCCGCGGUCAUACGUAGGGUGCAAGCAUUAUCCGGAGUGACUGGGCGUAAAGAGUUGCGUAGGCGGUUAGUAAAGCGAAUAGUGAAACCUGGUGGCUCAACCAUACAGACUAUUAUUCGAACUCACUAACUCGAGAAUGGUAGAGGUAACUGGAAUUUCUUGUUGUAGGAGUGAAAUCCGUAGAUAUAAGAAGGAACACCAAUGGCGUAGCAGGUUACUGGACCAUUUCUGACGCUAAGGCACGAAAGCGUUGGGGAGCGAACCGGAUUAAAUACCCGGGUAGUCCACGCCGUAAACUAUGGAUACUAGCUGUAGGGGGUAUCGACCCCUUCUGUAGCGAAGCUACCC
Molecule: ribosomal RNA, 708 nt
Filed under: uncultured bacterium
Lineage: Bacteria
Description: bacterial SSU rRNA
Rfam family: Bacterial small subunit ribosomal RNA
Source: RNAcentral